CGAACCUUUUCAAGGGGUAACCCGAGAUUAGGUUAGCGGCGAACGGGUGAGGAAUACAUGGAUAACGUACCCUGGACAUGGGGAUAGCGGCGGAGCUUCGGCUCCUUUGCGAAAGCGCCGGUAAUACCCAAUGAUCCGGAAGUGUCGCAUGGCAUUUCCGGCAAAGGCCCCGACGGUCUGGGAGCGGUUCAUGUCCUAUCAGCUUGUUGGUGAGGUAACGGCUUACCAAGGCAUUGACGGGUACCGGGCGUGAGAGCGUGGCCCGGCACAUCGGAACUGAGACACGGUCCGGACACCUACGGGUGGCUGCAGCAACGAAUAUUCCGCAAUGGACGAAAGUCUGACGGAGCGACGCCGCGUGCAGGAAGAAGUCCUUCGGGAUGUAAACUGCUGUCAGGGGUUAGGAAUAAAUGACCAGCCCCACAGGAAGCACUGGCUAACUCCGUGCCAGCAGCCGCGGUAAUACGGAGAGUGCAAGCGUUGUUCGGAAUUACUAGGGCUUAAAGAGCGUGUAGGC
This 517-nucleotide ribosomal RNA is filed under the name uncultured bacterium. RNAcentral describes it as "bacterial SSU rRNA". It matches the Rfam family "Bacterial small subunit ribosomal RNA", at positions 63 to 576 of the family's 1533-position model. The record is from RNAcentral.